GACGAACGCUGGCGGCGUGCUUAACACAUGCAAGUCGAACGGAAAGGCUCCAGCUUGCUGGAGUACUCGAGUGGCGAACGGGUGAGUAACACGUGGGUAAUCUGCCCUGCACUCUGGGAUAAGCCUGGGAAACUGGGUCUAAUACUGGAUAUGACCUUUCUCCUUAUGGGGUUUGGUGGAAAGUUUUUCGGUGUAGGAUGAGCCCGCGGCCUAUCAGCUUGUUGGUGGGGUGAUGGCCUACCAAGGCGACGACGGGUAGCCGGCCUGAGAGGGUGAUCGGCCACAUUGGGACUGAGAUACGGCCCAGACUCCUACGGGAGGCAGCAGUGGGGAAUAUUGCACAAUGGGCGGAAGCCUGAUGCAGCGACGCCGCGUGAGGGAUGACGGCCUUCGGGUUGUAAACCUCUUUCAGCAGGGACGAAGCGUAAGUGACGGUACCUGCAGAAGAAGCACCGGCUAACUACGUGCCAGCAGCCGCGGUAAUACGUAGGGUGCGAGCGUUGUCCGGAAUUACUGGGCGUAAAGAGCUCGUAGGCGGUUUGUCACGUCGUCUGUGAAAUCCUAGGGCUUAACCCUGGACGUGCAGGCGAUACGGGCUGACUUGAGUACUACAGGGGAGACUGGAAUUUCUGGUGUAGCGGUGGAAUGCACAGAUAUCAGGAAGAACACCGAUGGCGAAGGCAGGUCUCUGGGUAGUAACUGACGCUGAGGAGCGAAAGCAUGGGUAGCGAACAGG
Molecule: ribosomal RNA, 736 nt
Filed under: uncultured bacterium
Lineage: Bacteria
Also listed under: 1 other name
Description: bacterial SSU rRNA
Rfam family: Bacterial small subunit ribosomal RNA
Source: RNAcentral